Molecule: ribosomal RNA, 403 nt
Filed under: uncultured bacterium
Lineage: Bacteria
Description: partial 16S ribosomal RNA
Rfam family: Bacterial small subunit ribosomal RNA
Source: RNAcentral
AUUGAACGCUGGCGGCAGGCCUAACACAUGCAAGUCGAGCGAGCGGCGGACGGGUGAGUAAUGUAUGGGGACUGCCCGAUAGAGGGGGAUAACUACUGGAAACGGUAGCUAAUACCGCAUACUAUCGGAUAACCCAUAUGGGAUUAGCUAGUAGGUGAGGUAAUGGCUCACCUAGGCGACGAUCCCUAGCUGGUCUGGGAGGAUGAUCAGCCACACGUGGACUGAGACACGGCCCAGACUCCGACGGAGGCAGCAGGGGGGAAUAUUGCACAAUGGGCGCAAGCCGGAUGCAGCCAUGCCGCGUGUAUGAAGAAGGCCUUCGGGGUGUAAAGUACUUGCAGUCGGGAGGCGUUACCCACAGAAGAAGCACCGGCUAACUCCGUGCCAGCAGCCGCGGUAAUUC